Branchiostoma belcheri (Belcher's lancelet) is the source of this 2400-nucleotide long non-coding RNA. RefSeq lists it as uncharacterized. Lineage: Eukaryota; Metazoa; Chordata; Leptocardii; Amphioxiformes; Branchiostomatidae. The transcript is spliced from 2 exons. The record is from RefSeq and is a predicted model, not a curated record.
CGGUUAGGCUCGUACUGAACCCCCUGGGUGUCUUAUGGGGUAAGUUUUAGUUAGUUUCCCCAUAGCUAGCGCCCCUCCCCUUGACUAUAUCGUAACUUUCUAUUGCCUGUAUCUUCGCACACACGCACACACACACUUCAAAACGUCUCUAAGAGAUAUAAUAUUCGGAUGUUUGAAACGUGUAUAAAGUGUCUGAAUGUAAGAGGUAUGCAAAAGUUCAAAAAUUCUUGCAUAUUUCAUUAAAAUUUAAAGUGUCUCUAAAAUAUGUGAAGAAAUGUUCGAUGCUUGAUAUGUGUAGUAAGUAAGUAAGUAAUCUAAAUAAAGUGUCCUAUAUACAAUGUUUAUUUGGUUGAGUGUUCUUUUCUUCGCAUUCAUGCACGCACACACAAGUCAAAAAGUUUGACAUGUGACUGUUUGUUAUCAAACAUAUUAUAUGGAUUCUAUGUAAUGUUUCUAGUGUAUUGUAUAUGUUCUAGUUUGUCUACCCAGUACAGGGCACGGGCAGCAAUGUUUAGAAUCGCAUCUUAUACUUAUUGUUAACGUGUUUCUUUUCUUUUUGUCCACCAUUACAGUUACAGCGUAGACCUGAAGACUGAAUUUGAAGUAUGAGUACAAUGCGAAGACGUCUUCUUUAUCGCCGAGAAGUUGAAGGAAGCAGCCGCCGCAGUUCUGACCAGGCUUUCCACCAACUGAGAGGAUGUAGUUUCGUGACUGGUCGGGGGAAAUCUGGUGACCACAGCUCCGAUUGUGAAGACCAGCAGAAGCAAGUUGACUGUACAAGUUAGUACUGGGGCUUCUAUUACAGUAUUAGUAAAUUAUUGUGUCUUUUGACUCCAGGUGUUAUCAUUUUGUUCUCAACUUAACAAGUAAGGGAGGGGCGCUUGAAUAACAAGUAAAAUGGGCUUCUUUUGUACGUCUUGCAUCUGUAUCUGAAUAAAAUCACCCCUUGCAAUUGGCGUAACCCAGCUUCCCUGGCGCGGCGAUUUUUUUGUGUUGAUCUGUUUGAGAAUUUGAAAUUUCCAUAAACAUACAAUAUGUAUGGACGUAGACAUCUUUGAAUUGUUACUUUUGGUUUUGCUAAUGUUUGAGUUCAGAUUUUGUGAUGCCCAUGAUACAGUAUAUAUUUGCAUGUUGUGUAAUGUAUGAGGCACAUAGUUUCUUGUGAUCUUUUCAGUCUGAUUUUUUUGCAGUAUUAUGAAUGCUUUGAAGUUUAACGUACAAUGUAUGUACGAAGAUUUAGAUUCUGUGAAGUUGAUUUCUUGUUAUUCAGCUGUUCUGUUAAGACUUUUUGUGUAGCCUGUUUAUCAUUUAUGUGAUAUCAAUAAGUAUAUAACCAUAACUACAUUAGUUUGCUGAAUACACUUGUACCUUUUAUAUUGGCACGAAGUUACAAAUAGGUUGGUCUUAUGUUAUAAGUACGAGAAUACAGGGAAGGAAAACCCUGCACAGACACCCAGGGAAGACACCCCUGCACAGAAGUCCUAGGGAGUAAACCCUAGUCAAAAAAAAUCCAGGGGGGAUGAAACACCCCUGUCAAAAAAGUCAACCCCGCGCCAAAGUUCGACGAGUCAACCACUACACAAGACACAGACGGACAGUGGUACCGGCAUUUCUAUAGAUGUUUACACGUAAAUGUUAUGUAGAUUAGAUUUCUAUGAUAUAUUAUUUCUAUGAUAUAUUAUAUGACGGUUGAUUUAGACUGUGACAGUUUUUGGAGAACCAAGAAAUCAAAUUGGUGUGGCCCUAGGAUGGUACAAAUGAUACUGUUUGAAUGAUACUGUUUGUUCAUAUCAUGUAUUUUGACGUUGGUUUUGUUGACAAGGACAGUAUAUAUGUUGGGCAGGGUAGUAGACGGACUCGGACUGUAUGUUGAAAUGAUUUUGGUCCUAGUGACUUGCUUCUAGCCAUGGGAAAUUGGCACACAAUUAUUGGCAAACCGACGCUCAUCCUGACAAACUAUUUACAGUCUUGGUAAUUUUGUCUUUUUCUCAAAUUUCAUAUGGAGUACACUCAGCUCGCAUUGCCGUAGAGAAAAAUACAAUUGGGUUUGAAAAGAUUGUGAACAGCUAAGGAAGAAUGAGGCUUAAUAUGACUACAAAUAGACAGUCUAGCUGAAUAUAACAAAUAAAACCAACUGUAGACAGAGAAUAACCAAAUAAGAAUAAAAAUAUUAGAUAGGCAGGGAGGAAAACUUUAAAAGAAAACUUAGCAAGACAGGGCACAAAUAACAACAUUGCCUUCUUCAAUUCUGGCUGUUCACUUUCACAAUAAAACAUUCUUUAAACAUUUAUUCUUUCUUACAAACUACUGUGAGCUGAGUGAAACUCUUUAAACUUUGCUGCUAUGUUGUAAUUUUGUCAGGACUGUGAGUGGUUGUUGUCAGGAUGGCGUCCAAAUUUA